GUCUCGGUGGUGUAGUGGUAGAACGCGCUUCUUUGCCGUUGAGAUGCGGGUUCAACUCCCACCUGAGGUU
Non-coding RNA from Parelaphostrongylus tenuis, 70 nucleotides. The record is from the annotation of a GenBank genome assembly. NCBI's taxonomy places the organism in Eukaryota, Metazoa, Nematoda, Chromadorea, Rhabditida, Metastrongylidae.